RNAcentral lists this ribosomal RNA (376 nucleotides) under uncultured bacterium. RNAcentral's name for it is "bacterial SSU rRNA". It matches the Rfam family "Bacterial small subunit ribosomal RNA", at positions 524 to 898 of the family's 1533-position model. The record is from RNAcentral.
UACGUAGGUGGCAAGCGUUGUCCGGAAUUACUGGGUGUAAAGGGCGUGUAGGCGGGGAUGCAAGUCAGAUGUGAAAUUCCGGGGCUCAACUCCGGCGCUGCAUCUGAAACUGUAUCUCUUGAGUGCUGGAGAGGAAAGCGGAAUUCCUAGUGUAGCGGUGAAAUGCGUAGAUAUUAGGAGGAACACCAGUGGCGAAGGCGGCUUUCUGGACAGUAACUGACGCUGAGGCGCGAAAGCGUGGGGAGCAAACAGGAUUAGAUACCCUGGUAGUCCACGCCGUAAACGAUGGAUACUAGGUGUAGGAGGUAUCGACCCCUUCUGUGCCGGAGUUAACACAAUAAGUAUCCCACCUGGGGAGUACGGCCGCAAGGUUGAA